RNAcentral lists this ribosomal RNA (2524 nucleotides) under human gut metagenome. Its description in RNAcentral is "bacterial LSU rRNA". It matches the Rfam family "Bacterial large subunit ribosomal RNA", at positions 1 to 2539 of the family's 2925-position model. The record is from RNAcentral.
UUAAGUGAAUAAGGGCGCACGGUGGAUGCCUUGGCACUAGGAGCCGAUGAAGGACGGGACUAACACCGAUAUGCUUUGGGGAGCUGUAAGUAAGCUAUGAUCCAGAGAUUUCCGAAUGGGGGAACCCAAUAUCUUUUAUAGGAUAUUACUUUUCAGUGAAUACAUAGCUGAUUAGAGGUAGACGCAGAGAACUGAAACAUCUUAGUACCUGCAGGAAGAGAAAGAAAAUUCGAUUCCCUGAGUAGCGGCGAGCGAAACGGGAAGAGCCCAAACCAACAAGCUUGCUUGUUGGGGUUGUAGGACUCCAAUAUGGUAGUCUGUUAGUAUAGUUGAAGGAUUUGGAAAAUUCCGCUAAAGAGGGUGAAAGCCCCGUAGACGAAAUGCUGACAACACCUAGGAGGAUCCUGAGUACGGCGGAACACGAGAAAUUCCGUCGGAAUCCGCGGGGACCAUCCCGCAAGGCUAAAUACUCCCUAGUGACCGAUAGUGAACCAGUACCGUGAGGGAAAGGUGAAAAGCACCCCGGAAGGGGAGUGAAAUAGAUCCUGAAACCGUGUGCCUACAACAAGUCAAAGCUCGUUAAUGAGUGAUGGCGUGCCUUUUGUAGAAUGAACCGGCGAGUUACGAUUGCAUGCGAGGUUAAGUCGAAGAGACGGAGCCGCAGCGAAAGCGAGUCUGAAUAGGGCGAAUGAGUAUGUAGUCGUAGACCCGAAACCAUGUGAUCUACCCAUGUCCAGGUUGAAGGUGCGGUAAAACGCACUGGAGGACCGAACCCACGUACGUUGAAAAGUGCGGGGAUGAGGUGUGGGUAGCGGAGAAAUUCCAAACGAACUUGGAGAUAGCUGGUUCUCUCCGAAAUAGCUUUAGGGCUAGCCUCGGAAUUGAGAAUGAUGGAGGUAGAGCACUGUUUGGACUAGGGGCCCAUCUCGGGUUACCGAAUUCAGAUAAACUCCGAAUGCCAUUCAUUUAUAUCCGGGAGUCAGACUGCGAGUGAUAAGAUCCGUAGUCGAAAGGGAAACAGCCCAGACCACCAGCUAAGGUCCCAAAAUAUAUGUUAAGUGGAAAAGGAUGUGGGGUUGCACAGACAACUAGGAUGUUGGCUUAGAAGCAGCCACCAUUUAAAGAGUGCGUAAUAGCUCACUAGUCGAGUGACCCUGCGCCGAAAAUGUACCGGGGCUAAACAUAUUACCGAAGCUGUGGACUACACCAUUAGGUGUAGUGGUAGGAGAGCGUUCUAAGGGCGUUGAAGGUCGAUCGUGAGGACGGCUGGAGCGCUUAGAAGUGAGAAUGCCGGUAUGAGUAGCGAAAGACAGGUGAGAAUCCUGUCCACCGUAUGACUAAGGUUUCCUGGGGAAGGCUCGUCCGCCCAGGGUUAGUCGGGACCUAAGCCGAGGCCGAUAGGCGUAGGCGAUGGACAACAGGUUGAUAUUCCUGUACCAGUUGUUUUUGUUUGAGCAAUGGAGGGACGCAGUAGGCUAAGGAAUGCAUGCGAUUGGAAGUGCAUGUCCAAGCAAUGAGUCUUGAGUAGAGUUAAAUGCUUUACUCUUUAAGGACAAGUUGUGACGGGGAGCGAAAUAAUAGUAGCGAAGUUCCUGAUGUCACACUGCCAAGAAAAGCUUCUAGUGAGAAAACAACUGCCCGUACCGUAAACCGACACAGGUAGUCGAGGAGAGUAUCCUAAGGUGAGCGAGCGAACUCUCGUUAAGGAACUCGGCAAAAUGACCCCGUAACUUCGGGAGAAGGGGUGCUGACUUCGGUCAGCCGCAGUGAAUAGGCCCAAGCGACUGUUUAUCAAAAACACAGGUCUCUGCAAAAUCGUAAGAUGAAGUAUAGGGGCUGACGCCUGCCCGGUGCUGGAAGGUUAAGAGGAUGGGUUAGCUUCGGCGAAGCUCAGAAUUGAAGCCCCAGUAAACGGCGGCCGUAACUAUAACGGUCCUAAGGUAGCGAAAUUCCUUGUCGGGUAAGUUCCGACCCGCACGAAAGGCGUAACGAUUUGGGCACUGUCUCAACGAGAGACUCGGUGAAAUUUUAGUACCUGUGAAGAUGCAGGUUACCCGCGACAGGACGGAAAGACCCCAUGGAGCUUUACUGUAGUUUGAUAUUGAGUGUUUGUACCACAUGUACAGGAUAGGUAGGAGCCGAUGAGACCGGAACGCUAGUUUCGGAGGAGGCGCUGGUGGGAUACUACCCUUGUGUUAUGAACCCUCUAACCCGCACCACUAAUCGUGGUGGGAGACAGUGUCAGAUGGGCAGUUUGACUGGGGCGGUCGCCUCCUAAAAGGUAACGGAGGCGCCCAAAGGUUCCCUCAGAAUGGUUGGAAAUCAUUCGAAGAGUGUAAAGGCAGAAGGGAGCUUGACUGCGAGACCUACAAGUCGAGCAGGGACGAAAGUCGGGCUUAGUGAUCCGGUGGUUCCGCAUGGAAGGGCCAUCGCUCAACGGAUAAAAGCUACCCUGGGGAUAACAGGCUUAUCUCCCCCAAGAGUCCACAUCGACGGGGAGGUUUGGCACCUCGAUGUCGGCUCA